UACGGAGGGGGCUAGCGUUGUUCGGAAUUACUGGGCGUAAAGCGCACGUAGGCGGCUUUGUAAGUUAGAGGUGAAAGCCCAGGGCUCAACCCUGGAAUUGCCUUUAAGACUGCAUCGCUUGAACAUCGGAGAGGUAAGUGGAAUUCCGAGUGUAGAGGUGAAAUUCGUAGAUAUUCGGAAGAACACCAGUGGCGAAGGCGGCUCACUGGACCGGUAUUGACGCUGAGGUGCGAAAGCGUGGGGAGCAAACAGG
RNAcentral lists this ribosomal RNA (253 nucleotides) under uncultured bacterium. Its description in RNAcentral is "partial 16S ribosomal RNA". It matches the Rfam family "Bacterial small subunit ribosomal RNA", at positions 524 to 776 of the family's 1533-position model. The record is from RNAcentral.